This is a long non-coding RNA of Sinocyclocheilus rhinocerous, 208 nucleotides long. RefSeq lists it as uncharacterized. The record is from RefSeq and is a predicted model, not a curated record. The transcript has 4 exons. NCBI's taxonomy places the organism in Eukaryota, Metazoa, Chordata, Actinopteri, Cypriniformes, Cyprinidae.
GGUUUACCAGGAAGCCCAGGUCCAAAAGGUGGAGCUGGAGAGAAGGGUAAUGCUGGACAAUCAGGACUCAUUGGUACUAUGGGAUCUGAAGGUAAAGCGGGUGAGCGUGGAGAACAAGGAGAAGUCGGACCCAUUGGGUCUAUUGGACAGCCUGGAGAACGGGGAGAACAGGGGCCACCUGGGCCGAUGGGAAAACCAGGAGCCAGAG